CCUACGGGGCGCUGCAGUGGGGAAUAUUGGACAAUGGGCGAAAGCCUGAUCCAGCCAUGCCGCGUGUGUGAAGAAGGCCUUCGGGUUGUAAAGCACUUUCAGUGGGGAAGAAAGCCUUGGGGCUAAUACCCUCGAGGAAGGACAUCACCCACAGAAGAAGCACCGGCUAACUCCGUGCCAGCAGCCGCGGUAAUACGGAGGGUGCGAGCGUUAAUCGGAAUUACUGUGCGUAAAGCGCGCGUAGGCGGUCUGAUAAGCCGGUUGUGAAAGCCCCGGGCUCAACCUGGGAACGGCAUCCGGAACUGUCAGGCUAGAGUGCAGGAGAGGAAGGUAGAAUUCCCGGUGUAGCGGUGAAAUGCGUAGAGAUCGGGAGGAAUACCAGUGGCGAAGGCGGCCUUCUGGACUGACACUGACGCUGAGGUGCGAAAGCGUGGGUAGCAAACAGGAUUAGAUACCCCAGUAGUC
Molecule: ribosomal RNA, 465 nt
Filed under: Vreelandella stevensii
Lineage: Bacteria; Pseudomonadati; Pseudomonadota; Gammaproteobacteria; Oceanospirillales; Halomonadaceae
Description: partial 16S ribosomal RNA
Rfam family: Bacterial small subunit ribosomal RNA
Source: RNAcentral